ACUACAUUCCACUGUACGUUGUCUCUCGUGGCACAACCCGUCGCAGGUUGACGCGAAGCAGCGAACGCGACCAGAUCGCCGAUUACAAUAGGCGGUGGUUCUUGGAUGGAAUCGCAUUCACAGUUUCAACCGCAGCUGGUGCAAUUAAAGCCUCUCUAUCGACGCGAAAGUAAACAAUGCUAAAAAACAUAGCGUCACUUCCACUCGGAACAGGAAGUUGAAGCUACGUAAGUUCCGCUUCACGCCGGAAGUUAAGGGGGUGAGAGGAGAGGAGCGUGGAGGAGGAGGGUAGGUUGGCGGUACUUAGCUUGGCCGGCGGUGGCGCGUAGAUGCAGGGGCUUUAGUCAUCACAAGCGGUCACACAUGCUCAGGUCAGACACAACGUCAGUUCUCGUGUGCCACUGAGUGCAUACGUACCGGAGCAGGGCUCGCUGUGGCGUUGCUAGGUGUCCAUCGCCCCCGCAACCACGGAGCCAACGAGUCGGAGCACGCUGCACCCAGAGGACAGUUCUAAGUGGUCGAGUUCACAACGCUCUUAGCGAUACUGCUGGAUGAUGGCGUGCGCAUAAAGGAGCCGUCUCAUUUCGGAACCAAAGUACAGCGAUAAUGCAGCGCGAAUUAUUAUUUCUUUCUUGGCUACCCCUACCAACCAGACACCCUGGCGCAAGACUUGGCAAAGCUGCGCAAGCCAGCUAUUACGUCAUGAGCAAUGGAGUUGCUUGCUUGAACGCGGCCGUUUCUGCCGAGUUUUUUUUUUAUUACUGUUAUUUCCGUGCGUGUUUCUUCAAGGUCUGGUGUGCGCUUCACGUCAAAUUUUGCGUGACUGAGCCCGCUGCAAUCGUUGGCAAAAGGUGUGAGUGCAGGCUUUUUGUCAUCGGGCAAGUUGACGCUGCGGCAUCCGACGCGCUGGUCUCGUUGCAACCAUAAAUGCCGAACGCCUCGCGAAAGAAGGUCGCGCCACGUUCGUUCCCUCUCGUUAACACAUGGUCUGAGCGUCCGAAGCGCAGCAAGAUUAGUGAGUGGAAUGUUUCCUAAAUGCAAUAUUACCUUGUCUGAUAACUGUUCUAUAUGAAUACGUGGUGUGGCACAGGAUUACAAAUGAUUCUGUCAAAAGGAUUCGCAUAUGUUGCUAUGCAUUAUGACUGUUUCCUGGCCUUAGUACGUUUCAUCACUGAAACAUGUUUUAUUAGCUCAUUUCUAUUUGUUGCAUUAUUAAACACGUAUAAAAGUGAAGCUGAUUUUGAAA
This is a long non-coding RNA of Dermacentor albipictus, 1246 nucleotides long. RefSeq lists it as uncharacterized. Lineage: Eukaryota; Metazoa; Arthropoda; Arachnida; Ixodida; Ixodidae. The record is from RefSeq and is a predicted model, not a curated record.